Molecule: long non-coding RNA, 7621 nt
Filed under: Ananas comosus (pineapple)
Lineage: Eukaryota; Viridiplantae; Streptophyta; Magnoliopsida; Poales; Bromeliaceae
Description: long non-coding RNA (ACOM_LNC013453)
Source: RNAcentral
UGAUAAAAAGACAUAAUAAAUAGUUAGAAUAUUUUGUUGCUAAAGAAAUAAAUAUUUCAUACUAUUAUGUGUCGGCACACAAGAAUUUUUUUGACCGGCACGCAUCGGCACGGCUCGGCACGCACCGUGCCGUACCGUGCCGGCAAGUUUCCAGCACGACCCCGUGCCACGGCACUUAAAUCCUUGACUUGAAGUAUCUAGAAACCAAAUUUUAUAUUUUUCCGAUAGUGUUCUCUUGUCCAUCAAAUGGAUACAAAAAUGAACGACUGAGAAUGAAUAUCCUUUAAAAAGUGAUAAUAGGAAUCUUGUAAUCAAGAUCGAGAGUAUAAAUUUUGUUCUAAAUAGUUUAAAGAAUUUUCUAACCAAAAUUCAAUUGAUUUGAAUAUCUUUACACCGUUAAACAUGAAAACGCUUCAUAUCAACCAUUAAAAUUAUAAAGUUUGGGACCUUUUGAUCAUUAGGUCAAUGAUGUCGAAAAGAUUUAAAAUUUGGUUUUAGAUACUUCAAGUGGUAUAGAUCAAGUUAAACAGUGCCGAUCGUCGAUUUGGAGGCUCCAUCAUCGAAAACAAAUGAGUGGCAACGAAGCCUAUUUGCUACCGAUAGUAUACCAGCCUAGCUCUCUCUCUCUCUCUCUCUCUCUCUCUCUCAUCUAUAUAUAUAUUAUAUAAGAGAGAGAGAGAGAUAAAGAAAGAGAGAGCUAGGCUGGUAUACUAUCGGUAGCACGGAGGCUCCGUGCUCCAAGUUGUUUUCAAUGAUGUAGGCUUCCAAAUCGACGACAGCUUCGUUAGACUUGAACUACACUACUGAAAGUAUUUGGAAAACUAAAUUGUAUAAUUUGUUCGACAUCAUUUGGUUAGUGAUUAAAAGGUCCUCAAAUUUGACAAUUUUAAUGGUCGAUGUAUGCGUUUGUAAAUUUUACGGUGUAAAACAAUCCAAUCUGAUGAAAUUUUUAUAGAAAAAAUUCUUUCACUAAUUAAGAGUAGAUCAGUACCUCUGUCUUAAUUCAAGUCUUUUAUCAUUAUUUCUUUAUAGAGAUUUUUAUUUUCAGCUGUUCAUUUUAGAUACUCGUUUGAUAAGUAAAUGAUGUCGAAAAAUUAUGAAAUUUAGUUUCCAAAUACUUUCAAUAGUAUAGAUCAAGUCCAACGGAGUCGAUCGUCAAUUUGAAAGUUACAUCAUUGAAAAUAACUUGGUAGCUUCGUGUUACUGAUAGUAUACCAACUUAGCUCUAUAUAUAGAGAGAGAGAGAGAGAAAGAGAGUCCAGCUAUUAUACUCUUCUGAGUACGAUCGCCCUCGUACUCAUAAGUCGUUUUCAAUGAUAGAGCUUCUGAAUCGACGAUCUAUCCCGUUAAAUAUUAUCUUAGAGGAUUUAAAACUUCUAGAAAUCAAAUUUCAUAAUUUUUCGACAUCAUUUACAUACAAUCAAAAGGUCACAAAAUUGACAAGUUUUAACGGCCGGUAUAGGAUACUUGCUAGUUAGUAGUGUAAAAGAAUUGGAACAGGUUGAAUUUUUGAUAAAAAAUUCUAUUCACCAUCUAGAUAAAGAUCAAUAACUCCGAUCUUAAAUUGAAGGAUCCGAUCAUCCAUUUUUAGGACGUCAUUCGAUUUUGAUCGUUCAUGUUAUGCCCGCUUGAUAGACUUUAUUAGUGAUUUUGAAAAGUACAAAUUAUUAUUAGAAGUUUAAAUACUGUAGCAUCAUAUUUAUAUAAGGAUCGCAUUUGGAAAGCUCCCAUCAUCGACAAACAAAUAUGAGGUAAAAAACGCUAAGGGGGGCUUCCUAUACUCAUAAGAGUAUAGAGCCCCCAUAUAUAUAAUAUAUAUAUAUAUAUAUAUAUAUAUAUAUAAUAUAUCAAUAGAAUAAUAUGAUAAUGAGGCUAGAAUACUUAUAUUUAGAAGCAUUCGAGCCCUACUAGAUAGUAAUAUAUAAUAUAUAUAUAUAAUAAUAUAAAUAUAUAGAGAGAUGAGAGAGAGAGAACUAGGCUGGUAUAUCUACGGUAGGCACGGAGGCGCCUCCGUGCUAGCCUAAGUUGUUUCCAUGAUGCGGCUUCCAAAUCGACGAUACGGCUCCAAUAGACUGGAUCUACACUAUUGAAAAAUAUUUGGAAACUAAAUUUCAUAAUUCGACAUCCUUUGGCUAGUGAUCAAAGUCUGCAAAAUUGAUCAAAUUAUUAAUGUGUAAUGUAGGCAUUUGUAGAAUUAACAGGUGUAAAUUAACAUUAUCCAAAGCAGAUAAUAUUUUUUAUAGAAAAGUCUUUUUACUAGUUCAGAGUAAAGAUAGUACCGUCUUAUCUUAAAUUUCAAGUCUUCUAUCAUCCUUUUAUGAAGAUUAUUUUCACUGUGUCAUAUUUUAGACUACUUGUUUGAAAGUAAAUCGAUACCGAAAAAUAUGAAUUUAUUUCAAAUGCUAAUAUGUAGAUCAAGUCUAACUAGCCUGAUUGUCGUAUUUGAAUCCGCAUCAUUGAAACGAACUUGGUAGCACGGACGCCUCGCCAUGGCACUGAUAGUAUACCAGGCCUAGCGCUCUCUUCUCCAUCUCUAUCCCGUCUCUCUCUCUCUCUCGCUCUAAAUAUAUAUAUAUAUAGUUCAGCCACUAUAGACUUUUUAGCGAAAUUUUUGGGCUUAGUAGCCUGUAUACCUUUUUAAUUUUAAAAAUAGGCAUCCAAAGUUUUUAUUCAUAAAAUUAGGCUUAAGUCGUGUACUCCAAAGGAUCUAUAAUCUAUAAUCUAUAAUAAUGUAUGAAUCCUCAAUAAUGUAUACACGUGGCAGCACCCACUUGAAUGGUGGAUAUGGGGUCCACCUCCCGCCUUCUAAGUUGACUAAAUAUGAGAAAAAGGACUCGACUUUUCGGUUUCCUGUUCUUUCGCCACUAUUUCGUCUUCCCUCCACAAUUAUAUUUUUUUGAUUUUCUCUUCUUUCCUCAUUGUUCGUCCUUCCUCCCCAAUUAAUAUUUUUCAUCCACUUCAUGUUCCCUUUCCAAUUAAUAUUUUUUUGGUUUCCUCUUCUUUCCUCGCUAUUACAUCUUCUCUCCCUAAUUAAUACUUCUUAUCCGCUACCGUGCCCCAACCGUCUUCUCUAUUCUAUUGUUCCAUCCUCUCUCCACUCGGAGGCUUUUGACCGCCACCUUCACCAUACCUUACGCGCCACAAGGACGGUGAUAGAACCAAUACUGUCGCCAAUCACUCCAUCCCCCCAUCUCUCUCUUCCCUCCUCCCCUUCCCCUUCCCGAAGGUUUUGAUCACUCUUCAUGGCCGAAGUCGGAGCCCCACAACAACACCACCCCCUCCACCGCUGCUCAUGUUUCUCGAGGCGACCGUCGUCGUCGAGAUCACUUAGAAAAUGGUAAACCAACACAUCACCAAGAUCAACGACAUCUCUAUCCUCGGCCAACGCUAUGUCGUUGAAACCCUAGGCUUCACCUCCGUCACCUUCGACACCACGCUCUUAGAGGCCUCAUGGACACCACGACGAGAUAGAGCUCUUAGAUUCAUCCUACUUUCACCAAAUAUUGCUAUUCCUCUACAUCUCCUCUCUUCUUUUUUUUUUUGGGUUGGUAAAUAGUAAAUUUCUUUGUGCACAUUUUAUAUUCUAGACUAGAUAUUUUUCAUUCUUUUUCCUUUAAAUUUCUAUCGGCCACAUUAGGCGGAUCCCUAUACUAGUGCAUAGCAUUAAACAGAAAUAAUUUUAAUGCUUUGAAGAAUUGCAAGCAUUUUGAUCUCCCUCUUGAAAAAACAGUUAGUGAAAAGGUUUCAGUAUUUAAUUAGUGGAGAUAAAAGAAAACAGACAAGUAGCAAUUUCAUCCUUGCAUAGAAGAGCAGCUUUGUUGAGAUAAUGACGAAGAUUGCCAAAUCCGCUAGCCAAGGUCAACCCAAGGUUUAAAGUGCCGCCCUAUGCCCUGCGGCACGGGGCGGCAUGUACCAUGCCUCCAAAAAAAGGGCAUGGUACCAGGGCGGUCUCGAACCCCACGCGUGCCGCGGCACCUACCUGCGUAUCGCGCCAGACAGAGCGAUACUCAAGUAGGUGCCGCAGCACUGUGCCGUGUCGGCACAGUCUCGCGCGAUACGUGGGUGGGUGCCAUGGCACUAUGCCGUGUCGGCACUUUUUUUUUGCUUUUUUGCUUUUUGCGUCUUUUUUUCUUUGUUUCUUUAGGGGUACCCAAAGCAUCCUAGGUACUCCACAUCCCCCAAACACAUUACAAAUCGAAAAUCUACUUGUUAGAGAAGUCAAAAAAAAAUUUCUUUUUUUUUGUUUAUCAAUAUACGGGCUAAUUCUUAAUUUACAUAUUCGAUCCAUACCGCGGGGGCGAAGCCCACCACACCACCACAGACAUCCAUUUUCUUCUUCUUUCUUCACAAAUUAUUUUAUCAAAAUUUGUCGCACUGCAAAGCUUUCGGCAAAUUAGAGGAACAAAAUCGAACUCAAUAAACAAAUUUUGAGGCACAUAAAAUAUAAUUAAUUUUUGCAUUAGAAGAUUGAAAAUAGUGAUAAAAUUAAAACUAAAUUAAAUCAAUUGAUACUUAAAUUUAUUUGUCAUAAUUUAUUGCUUAAUUUUUUUGAUAGAUCUAAUAAUUUUUUCAAAUACUUUUUAAAAUAAUUUUUUCAAAUAAUUUUUAAAAUUAUUUUAAAAAUUAUUUUUUUUUGUAUUUUACAAAAGAAAUACUGUAAUAUGGUCAAAAGAAAAAAAGAAAGAUAACUUUGCAUUUUUAAAAUUUUAACAUGUAAAAAUUUCUAUUCUGCAUCAAGUAUAAUUGUACUUUACAUACAAAAAACUUACAAGCAUAUAUAUAUUGAUGAGUAUAGUAAGCUAUAUAUAGCAAAUAUUCAUAAUUAUUUGAUUAAAUCUUUCAACAUGACAUUAUAAGAGUUUAUUGGAACCAAAAUAACAAAAAUAAUUCCGUGCCGAAGCGUCCCAGUAGCAAGUCAUGCGUAUCCAUCGACAGUUAAGCGUACCACGUGUUGGCACGGAAGCGUGCCGGUGUCGUACCGUGCAAGGCAGACAGCGGCACGCCCCCGUGCCGUGGCACUUUAAACCUUGGGUCAGCCAAAGAGAGCAGCAUCAAUGCAAGUACUAUUCUUGAUGCCAUCAGAGCACCUAAAAGAAAAAAUAGCUUUAGAUAAAAAAGCAAUAAUAACAACACGAAACGAAGUAAGGUGGCAAGUAAUUUUUUAAAAAAUUUUAAUUUACACUUUAGCAUCAGCCCCGCCACACCAUACUGCCCAUGCCAUACUAUGCAAGGACAUGCCGGGCAUGUGGCACAGCGGCAUGCUAAGCCGUAUUGAGAAAACAUGUCUUUUUGGCAUUUUUUUGGUUUGUUUGUGCUUUUUUGAUAUAAAAAAGUGAUACAAUGGUUUUUUUUAACUUAAAAGUUGUAGAUCUUAUAAAUCUAUGAACAUUUCGGAGCAAUUAGAGCCCAUUUGGUUGCAAGCUUUUGCAACUGAACUGUAGUAGCAAAGGCAUGCAACCUCAAUUCAUGUGUUUGGUUUAGUGCAGUUAAGUCCGACUGCUGUAGUUGCAGCUGCUAUAACAUACCGAAUCUCCGGGUUACGAGGCUAACUUUGAUCGAAUUGGUCAAAGUGAGGCACGAGUAUGAUUUGUGGCAUCCCCGAGUCAUUUCGGAGCCGUAGGGAUGGAUAGAGGUGUGUUUCGGGGUUGUUUUGGUGUUUUCGGCGCAAACCAGGCGCGAAAACGAAAAUUCGAAACGCUAUGGUUGCUAGACUACUCAAGGAACACUACGUACCGGUACCAAGUCAAUGCGGUACCGGUACCCCAUGGUAGUAGGGUUGAGCAACUCUCGGGAUCCAAACAUGAGAGGCUGGUACCGAUACUAGAGUGGAAUACCGGUACUAUGCCGCGUACCAGAGGUUACGCAGCUUUGGAUGUGGGAGCUAGUACCAGUACUAGAUGGCAGGUACCGGUACCUAGUUUGUUAGGGACUGAAAUGUAAGGAGUGAAGGGAGAAUUGUGGAGGGGUUUUAAGUGUAAUUGUUGUGGGUCUAUAUAAUUCCAACCGCAACACCUGUACACUCCUCAUGCAAAGAGAAACAUUGUUCUCUUCUCGUUCUCCUUUCUUCCUUCUUCUCUCUCUAGAAGUCUAAGCAAGAGAACUGUGGAGGAGAAUUAAAGAAGGAAAUUAGAUGGAAAAUUGGUGGUUUUGGUGUGGAUGAAGCUCUAGCACAAGGAGAGCUUGGGUAGCAUUGGGUCAAGGUGAGUUCUCUUGCUCCUCUUUGUUAGGGUUUGAUGUAAAUCCCUUAAAUUGCUUAGUUUUGAGGUUCUUAGGUUAUGGAGAUUUGGAUUACUCCAUAACUUCCUAAGAAAUUUGUGUAUGAUGAAGUUAUAUAAAACCUAAGCAUAGAAAUGGGAUUUUGUAGGAUUGGAGAUCUAGCUUGGAAUUGAUCUCAUGUAAUCCUAAUUGAAGAUAAAUCCGACGCGUUGAGAGGCUCAGAUCGACGUUCCGACGAGUCUACAACGAGUUAUUGAGGAAAAACCUCAUUUCAACUUCGUUUGUCGUGGGUUGAGACAGAUAGACUUCCAAAAAUCGCAGGACUUGGGUUCUCGCAUCUCGACAUCUCUACGAGGUGGGUGGUGCUAUCUGAAGUUUUUGAAUGACCCGUUAUGUCUAGUCGCUUAUUGAGCAUAUAUAUAUGUAUAAUGAAUUCAUGCAUUAUAGGGUAAAUGUGAUAUGUGGAUCAAUUGUGCAUUCUUGUAUGCUUUGAGAAUAAAGUAUAUGUGGACAAUAGAUGGUGAACAUAGAAACCCUAUUGAUGUAUGAACAAGCAUUGACUAUGACAAUAGUUACAAAGUGACAUUGUGACUAGACAGCAUGAGUAGCACCCAGUACUGUGAAUGCUAGACAAGGAAAAUGAACUUGUGGCAUUUGUGGCACUAUAAUGAGAUGAUUGGUUAGCACCUAGAAUUGAAAAUGCUAAACAUAGAGUAAAGAGCUUGUCAAAGUUGUGGCCUUGUAUCCUCCAAGUGAGGAUUGGAUCGUACUCACAGGUAGUCUGAAUGCUCGAGGUAGGUCGCUUCACCUUGGGUGGUGAGCUCCGAAGUGUGUUAUCAACUGGGUUGGUAGUGGAAUUCUCCCCAGCAGACGCUCCCGUCGUAUGGUAGCGGAAUUCUCCCAGACAAAAAGGGGUUUGGUUUGGUGAGUUGGGAUUAACCAAAUGGUUAACCAAGUUGAUUGGGUAAUGGUAAAAUUAAGAUGCAUGCAUCAUGAGCAUUUAUUACUGUUUCAGUUAGUACAGGCAUUGUAGUAGCAUUAGUUUGGUUUGUUAUCCAUUUCCUUUUCCUACAUAUGCCUGAGUAGACCUAGUGGGUGAGUCGGCGAAGUCGGCGGCCGAACCCACUAGAAACUUUUAGUAAUUCUCACCCCACUAACCAUGCAAGUCCUAGCGCAAGCGGGGCGGUCGAGGAUCGCGGCAUGGACAUCGCGCACUAGAUAGCGGACUUCCAUUGAGUAUAGAUAUACCUUGUAUACCUCAUCUAUUGUAGUUGAUGAAACAGAUAUGUCACAAUGCAAAUGAGAGAUGAUUAUUCUAUGUAUUGGAAGAAUAUAUGUCAAUGAGAAUUUGCAAACCUUGUAUUUGAUUCAAAUUGAUCAAGAUACAAUGUAUUAAUGUAAUAGC